GAGCCCCCAAGGACCUUAGAGAGCAGAUUUGAAAGAACUGUGAUUCACAAUCAGUGAUGAUUCCAUCCCAUCAGGGGGCAUUUGGAAGAAUUUGGGGACUUUUCUGAUUGUCACAACUAGAGAGAAUUAAUUCACAGGAUUAAGGGACGCUAAACGUUUCCAGAAGUGUGGAUCCAUCUUGAACAAUGAAUAAACACAUGAAAGCCAGAAUGGCGUGGACAUGGCAACUAAUGGCAGUACAGGAGUGAACACAGAACAGAAUGCAUCAUGUAAAUUUGGAAAAUGAAGAAAAGAUGAAUAUCAGCACCUUUCUCCUGAUUACAUGGAAUUUGUGGAACUAUAGAAAGAAGAAUACAGCAGAGGGCAAACAAGCUAGAUUGAUCUAACAAGAUAUUAUAAAGUGGCAAAAGCAAGGGUUCUUUGCUCAUUUCCACACCUGAUACUGGUGUCUGAGGAGGACAGACAGCAACUAAGUAAUUCAUUUCAGUCAUAAGAAGUCUGCAUAUGCAUGAAUGACACAAAACUCCUAGAAGUGUUACCCAUUUUGGAACUAGGAACAAAUUCAUAAGGACAUACAUGCUCCACGGGAUGUAGAAAAAAUACCAAGUGUUCUGAAGCUAUCAAACUUGAAGGACAAAUACUACUUGUGAUAAAUGGGCUAAGAUAUAUUUUUAUGGUAACAUUUAUAGAGCAGAUUGACUUGAUGAAUAGGCUUCGGAAAUUAAAUAAAAAGUUGAUGUAACUGGA
Molecule: non-coding RNA, 747 nt
Organism: Oryctolagus cuniculus (rabbit)
Lineage: Eukaryota; Metazoa; Chordata; Mammalia; Lagomorpha; Leporidae
Source: RefSeq, a predicted model, not a curated record